RNAcentral lists this ribosomal RNA (377 nucleotides) under uncultured bacterium. RNAcentral describes it as "bacterial SSU rRNA". It matches the Rfam family "Bacterial small subunit ribosomal RNA", at positions 29 to 430 of the family's 1533-position model. The record is from RNAcentral.
AACGAACGCUGGCGGCAGGCCUAACACAUGCAAGUCGAACGCCCCGCAAGGGGGAGUGGCAGACGGGUGAGUAACGCGUGGGAACGUACCCUUCGGUUCGGAAUAAACCCGGGGGAAACUCGGGCUAAUACCGGAUACGUCCGCAAAGAAGAAAAGAUUUACCGCCGAAGGAUCGGCCCGCGUCGGAUUAGCUAGUUGGUGGGGUAAUGGCCCACCAAGGCGACGAUCCGUAGCUGGUCUGAGAGGAUGAUCAGCCACACUGGGACUGAGACACGGCCCAGACUCCUACGGGAGGCAGCAGUGGGGAAUAUUGGACAAUGGGCGAAAGCCUGAUCCAACCAUGCCGCGUGAGUGAAGAAGGCCUUAGGGUUGUAAAG